This 370-nucleotide ribosomal RNA is filed under the name uncultured organism. Its description in RNAcentral is "bacterial SSU rRNA". It matches the Rfam family "Bacterial small subunit ribosomal RNA", at positions 526 to 896 of the family's 1533-position model. The record is from RNAcentral.
CGUAGGGUGCGAGCGUUAAUCGGAAUUACUGGGCGUAAAGCGUGCGCAGGCGGUUUUGUAAGACAGAUGUGAAAUCCCCGGGCUCAACCUGGGACCUGCAUUUGUGACUGCAAGGCUAGAGUACGGUAGAGGGGGAUGGAAUUCCGCGUGUAGCAGUGAAAUGCAUAGAUAUGCGGAGGAACACCGAUGGCGAAGGCAAUCCCCUGGACCUGUACUGACGCUCAUGCACGAAAGCGUGGGGAGCAAACAGGAUUAGAUACCCUGGUAGUCCACGCCCUAAACGAUGUCAACUGGUUGUUGGGUCUUUACUGACUCAGUAACGAAGCUAACGCGUGAAGUUGACCGCCUGGGGAGUACGGCCGCAAGGUUG